Coccidioides immitis H538.4 is the source of this 307-nucleotide small nucleolar RNA. It matches the Rfam family "Fungal small nucleolar RNA U3". Rfam says of the family: Small nucleolar RNAs (snoRNAs) are involved in the processing and modification of rRNA in the nucleolus. There are two main classes of snoRNAs: the box C/D class, and the box H/ACA class. The record is from Rfam. Lineage: Eukaryota; Fungi; Ascomycota; Eurotiomycetes; Onygenales; Onygenaceae.
ACUGACUUUCUUCACAGCAUUUCUUCAGUAGACGUCCCACUCUGUAUUUCUUAUUACAGGGGUAAACUUCAAUCCUGCUGAUGACCACCAUGUCCUCGAUGCCCUAAAGUGAAGCCGUUAUACUCCCGCCUCGACCCUGCUCGAGAUCGCCCUCGCGUUUUCUGGAUACCCUCUGUGGCUUCCGAAGUGCGGGCGGAUGCAUCUCGGGCUACUUGGGUCUAGGGAGUGGUGAUGAUCUUGACCUAGUGGAUGUGCCUUUUGACUUCGGUCGGUCUCCCUAGGUGGGCGUUGAGGAGGUCUGAAGGAU